UUUAUUUGUUUACUGAAUUUUUUUUUUUUUUUUUUUUUUUC
Molecule: non-coding RNA, 41 nt
Filed under: Lotharella globosa
Lineage: Eukaryota; Cercozoa; Chlorarachniophyceae
Source: RNAcentral